CCUACGGGAGGCAGCAGUGAGGAAUAUUGGUCAAUGGUCGGGAGACUGAACCAGCCAAGCCGCGUGAGGGAUGAAGGUACAGAGUAUCGUAAACCUCUUUUGUCAGGGAACAAAGGCGGGGACGUGUCCCCGGAUGAGUGUACCUGAAGAAAAAGCAUCGGCUAACGCCGUGCCAGCAGCCGCGGUAAUACGGUGGAUGCGAGCGUUAUCCGGCUUUAUUGGGUUUAAAGGGUGCUCAGGCGGUCUGUUAAGUCAGCGGUCAAAGCCCGGGGCUCAACCCCGGCCCGCCGGUGACACUGGAAGUCUGGAGUUGGAGAGAAGUAUGCGGAAUGCGCGGUGUAGCGGUGAAAUGCAUAGAUAUCGCGCAGAACUCCGAUUGCGAAGGCAGCAUGCCGGCUCCACACUGACGCUGAGGCACGAAAGCGUGGGUAUCGAACAGGAUUAGAUACCCCAGUAGUC
Molecule: ribosomal RNA, 459 nt
Filed under: uncultured bacterium
Lineage: Bacteria
Description: partial 16S ribosomal RNA
Rfam family: Bacterial small subunit ribosomal RNA
Source: RNAcentral